CCGCAUAGCAAAAUACAGUUUGCCAUACUUUCCAAACAGAAAGUUUGCUCUAACUGUUACUGUUACUUUAAGACAAACAUUUGGUUUUCUGUUUAACAAUAUGAAGCCUGACGCUACACACCAUAGAGAACGUCUUUGAUAACGUAUACCAACUAGUAACAGUAUGUUAUAGUGUCUGCACAUUGUUUGACGUUAUGGAAAUAAAACUCGUGAGAAAUGGUGGCACUAUGGCAUCACCUCAAGUCAAACGGUCUGUUCUCGCAGUAGCGCAACACACUAUCACAUACGAGUUUCACAAUACAGUACUUAUGCUCAACAAUCUGUCAUAUGGUUACAAACAUUUGUAUUUGCAAAUGAAAUAUCCUAAGGUUUGCCGCUGCGCUGUCUGUCAGAUUAUUUGUAAAAAAAAGCAAAAAGUGCAAAUCCUGGGUUUCCGAACGACCAAAAAAUAAUUUUUCUCUGGCUCAACUGCGGAGUUUGCAAGUGCCUCCUAAACCGUAAUCGAAAGGUGGUUGGCCACAGGCGAUCGUGGCGGGCCGGUGCAACAGACAACAAAAUUAAAGAUUUUCACCGACACAUUCCGGCGAAAUGACCAACGAAGUGAACUUCGACACUCGGAUCCCUUUCGAAAGGAUGUCCGGCUUCCUCAUCUCGCUGCAAGAGCCGUAAGUGGCAUUCCAGGCCCACAGGAAGCAGAUGUCGGUGCCCCUGUCUAAGAAUGGAACAAACGUGUACGUCGGUGUGCAUGAUCGUGAAGCUGAAGGUGGACAAUAAUCGCAAGAGGAUCCUGGACAAACGUGCCGCCGGAAUCCGGGCGGCGUUGUCGAAGGAGAAGGACAAGUGCACCACGGAAAGCAUUUAUGUCUCCACUUUGGAAACCAUUUCAUAAACAUGCGGCAACUAUUCUGAAAAUCUUUAGGCUGGCCACCGCCGACAAGACUGCGGAUAUCGGCACAGAGCACCUAUAGGGCUAUCCCGAUGUGCAUCCAAUCUCCAAGGCAACAUUCCGUCUCCGGAUUCUGUCGGCAGCUUCUUCUGGGUGAUAGCUUCUCCAUAGCCUUCUCACCAACAGUCGGAACCUGCCAGAAUGGCACCGCCGUGUGUACUGCUCGAAUUUUGUGUUUAAUAAUUUAUGCUAAAUUUACAAAUAAUUGUUAUGUACUGCCCAUGCCAAGGCCCAUGCAUAAAAAUUAUAAACCUAUUAUAAACAUAUUUUGAAGCAAUAUAAUCAUCAAAAGCUUAAAUAAUACUUUCAUAAGGAACGAGAAACUUGUGACAAUUACAACUUGGAAAUGAAACCAUCAUCCUGUUUGAUUUAUUGUAAAUAAUCAAAUAAAACAGGAUGGUAGUUCAUUUUCAAGUUGUAAUUGUUUGAAAAAAAGUUUAAAUACAGUAGAACCAUAUAUCAAACGUUUAAAAUACCAUGGAAGACCAUAAACCAAUAAUAGCAUA
Long non-coding RNA from Aedes albopictus (Asian tiger mosquito), 1452 nucleotides. RefSeq lists it as uncharacterized. Lineage: Eukaryota; Metazoa; Arthropoda; Insecta; Diptera; Culicidae. The transcript is spliced from 3 exons. The record is from RefSeq and is a predicted model, not a curated record.